This 417-nucleotide ribosomal RNA is filed under the name Helicobacter pylori. RNAcentral describes it as "bacterial LSU rRNA". It matches the Rfam family "Bacterial large subunit ribosomal RNA", at positions 1747 to 2173 of the family's 2925-position model. Lineage: Bacteria; Pseudomonadati; Campylobacterota; Epsilonproteobacteria; Campylobacterales; Helicobacteraceae. The record is from RNAcentral.
UGUGCCACAGCGAUGUGGUCUCAGCAAAGAGUCCCUCCCGACUGUUUACCAAAAACACAGCACUUUGCCAACUCGUAAGAGGAAGUAUAAGGUGUGACGCCUGCCCGGUGCUCGAAGGUUAAGAGAAUGCGUCAGUCGCAAGAUGAAGCGUUGAAUUGAAGCCCGAGUAAACGGCGGCCGUAACUAUAACGGUCCUAAGGUAGCGAAAUUCCUUGUCGGUUAAAUACCGACCUGCAUGAAUGGCGUAACGAGAUGGGAGCUGUCUCAACCAGAGAUUCAGUGAAAUUGUAGUGGAGGUGAAAAUUCCUCCUACCCGCGGCAAGACGGAAAGACCCCGUGGACCUUUACUACAACUUAGCACUGCUAACGGGAAUAUCAUGCGCAGGAUAGGUGGGAGGCUUUGAAGUAAGGGCUUUG